GGCCCCCUCCUUCCCAGCCAUGCAGUUGAGAGGAAUUAACCUAACCGAAGUUUUCUGGGUGGAGUUUGGCAGGAGUCUCCAUUGCCAGUAAAAACCCGCUUGGCCACUUGUGUAGAAAGAGGAAUUAAUAUUUGAAUACUCAACUGACUGGUUCUUCUUGGGAGCAAGUAGCCAAGUAAAUACCCAAGGGAGAACAAGGGAAGGAACAAAAUGGCAGCAAGCCCAAAGGAGACAUGCCUCAAUCAUCCUGCAGCACCCUGGACGUGGCCAUGGGAUGACAUCCUCCCUCCAGUGCCCUGCCAUGGUACACAGAACGAGCCUCCGUGCGGGAGGAAGGAUACUGGCUGAUUUCGGCUGUGCCUGGUCCAAUCUUGGCUUACCUCAGACGGAGUUCUGGCUGCCUCACUUUCAAUAUGUUGCCGCCUUCCCUGAGAACUCAGAGAGGUCACAUCCACAUCAGGACUUCAGCGCCAGACCCUCCCACUGCCCACCCUUUGCUACCUUUUCUCUCACUUUGUACCGACUCCUCUUGCUAAUUCUCCUUUGUGUGUUUGGAGACCAUCUCUCACCACUUUCACUCAGAUGACCUACUAAACUACUUUCUCUGCUCAGGUUGUUAAACUAGAAGUUACAGUGGUCUUGAGUCUUGGUUAAGCUUGAUUAAGAUUAAGCUUUAAGUUCAUCAUAGUCUAUGCUGGUUUAAGUGAUGAAUACAGAUGUGCCCCCAGAGUGGCCAAGGGCUGUGCCACGAAAAUAAUAUGCUUUUCAGGAGCGCAUCUUCUCCCCCCUAAAUAUGUGAGGAUGUGUUUGCACCAAAGAUAGAGCAGGGUGUUCAGGGCACAGAUCUGAUGGGGAGGAUCAUGUUCAGGAAAACCACCUUUGGAGCAAACUCGCGAUUCUAUCCAGUUCUCCUUACACCUUGUUUCCUCACAAAAUUAGGCAAAUUCUAAUAGCUAUAGACUUUCGGUAAUUCCUUAGCCUUUCAGAUUUUGCCAUGUAACAGUGUGAUUUCUGCAUUAGCCUGAGUACAGUACUGCAUUCCCUUCUGAGCCUGAGGGGACACCCGUAUGAGUCUUAAAUUUCCAACAAGUGACACUUUGCCUGACUCUACUCUGUUAAAGGCUCUUUUGGAAAUCAAUUCUAUAACGUAGUGUAGUACGUUAUAGAAUUCUGGUAAUUAGGAGUUCCCACUGUGGCUCAGCACUAACGAACCCAACUAGUAUCCGUGAGGAUGAGAGUUCAAACCCUGGCCCGGCAUUGCUGUGAGCUGCAGUGUAGGUCAAAGACUGGGUUCGGAUUUGGCAUUGCCAUGGCUAUGGUGUAGACUGGCAGCUGCAGCUCCAAUUCAACCCCUAGCCUGAGAAUUUCCAUAUGCCACAGGUGCAGCCCUAAAAGACAAAAUAAUAAUAAUAAUAAUAAUAAUAAUAAUAAUAAUAAUAAUAAUAAUUCUGGUAACUAUAGAAUACUCAAAGAUAAAAUCCAAAAGCUACUAAAAUCUGCUCAGAGGACGUUAACACACAGAAAAAUCAGAGUGAGUUGUAUUUUUCUUCAAUCUAGCCCAAGGAUGGGCAAGAGGGUGUAGGAAU
Molecule: long non-coding RNA, 1586 nt
Filed under: Sus scrofa (pig)
Lineage: Eukaryota; Metazoa; Chordata; Mammalia; Artiodactyla; Suidae
Description: lncRNA (ENSSSCG00060007960.1)
Source: RNAcentral